GUGCUCGCUUUGGCAGCACAUAUAGUAAAAUUGGAGCGAUACAAGGAAGAUAAGCAUCCCCCUGCACAAGGAUGGCAUGCAAAUUCAUGAAGUAUUAUGGAUUCUU
Ailuropoda melanoleuca (giant panda) is the source of this 106-nucleotide small nuclear RNA. Lineage: Eukaryota; Metazoa; Chordata; Mammalia; Carnivora; Ursidae. The record is from Ensembl.